GGAUGUGAGGGCGAUCUGGCUGCUACAUCUGUCACCCCAUUGAUCGCCAGGGUGGAUUCGGCUGAUCUGGCUGGCUAGGCGGGUGUCCCCUCCUUCCCUCACCGCUCCAUGUGUGUCCCUCC
RNAcentral lists this small nuclear RNA (122 nucleotides) under Heterocephalus glaber (naked mole-rat). Its description in RNAcentral is "7SK RNA". It matches the Rfam family "7SK RNA", at positions 1 to 122 of the family's 331-position model. From Rfam's summary of the family: 7SK was discovered as an abundant small nuclear RNA in the mid-70s but a possible function has only recently been suggested. The record is from Rfam by way of RNAcentral. Lineage: Eukaryota; Metazoa; Chordata; Mammalia; Rodentia; Bathyergidae.